RNAcentral lists this long non-coding RNA (336 nucleotides) under Nicotiana benthamiana. Its description in RNAcentral is "long non-coding RNA (NBEN_LNC026642)". The record is from RNAcentral. Lineage: Eukaryota; Viridiplantae; Streptophyta; Magnoliopsida; Solanales; Solanaceae.
UCAAAUGAAAUACUAAUUAAUCUAACAUUCUAUGAAUAAAAUAUAUAGUUUUCUAAAAUAUGAUAGUUUUGGUGGUGAUGGUCAAUGGGUGAAUGCCGACUAGAGGCGGUGGUUGGUGGUAAUUUUGGUUGAUAAUGGUGGUUCAUGCUAGUAGCCAGUAGUGUUGGUAGUGGUGGCGAUUAUGAUUGAGGAUGAUGGUGGUCAUAGUUAAUAAUAGCGGAUGAUGGUAGUAGUUGUGACCGAGGAAGGUGAUGAAUAGAUGGUGGUAGGUAUAAUGAUGUGUAGUACCAGCUGUGGUUGUUGAUGGUGAUGGGGUGGUUAGUUGUGAUAGUUGAG